Acanthopagrus latus (yellowfin seabream) is the source of this 1090-nucleotide long non-coding RNA. RefSeq lists it as uncharacterized. The record is from RefSeq and is a predicted model, not a curated record. The transcript has 2 exons. Lineage: Eukaryota; Metazoa; Chordata; Actinopteri; Spariformes; Sparidae.
GCAGUAACAAAAGCCGACACUACGUUUAUGUUUUCAGUUUUAUUUUGGUUUGUUGGUGGAUUGUGGUCGUACCUUGUUGAUAAUGUCUUGGCAGGAAAUCCUGCAAAACAGUGAUGGUGUCACUGACACCGCUCUUUUUUUAGCCCGUCAGAUACAAGCGUUUUGAUGUUUCAUUUUGUUUCUCAGCUGCAUCUUUUUUUUGUGAGGACAGGCACCCUCUGUCAUCCUUCUCGAAUGCAUUAACCCAGCUCUGGUUCAGGACUCGGGUCACAGAAUCACUUUAACAGUCAAAUGCAUAAGGAAUUCAAAGUGAUGUCAAGCUUUUGCUAAAAGGGACCCAGACACAAGACACAGAGAGGCAGGGAGGUUAGAAGCAAAACAGGCUUUAAUGGUAAGAUGAAGGGCGGUAAACAAAUAAUGCCAGGAAGUGUAAAGUAAAACAUGACAAUCAAGGGUGAGAUCAACAAAAUAAAACAGGAUGUGACCAAGAAAGUUAUCCAGACAGGUGAUGUACAAACUAAAGUGCUGCUCUUUAGCAUUUUGCUGAACAGGAAACAAAAUGGACGGCUUUGAACUCGACUUGUACACAGACUCCAUUUAUUGGAGAACCAUCAUCCGAGGCUCUUGUUUGUCUGCCAGGCAGGAUGUUGUUUGAGGAACUGGAAGAGGAUCACUGUAGAACCAAAGAACAGUGACGGAACACACUCUUUUUGAACUCCAGAGAGGGAGAUCGGAUUUACAUCACUAGCAAUAUCUUCAACAAAACAACAGUACGAAGGAACACGGCCGAGUAUGGUCUGCCAAGAUAGGAAGGAGGAAAAACAACAGGGAGGCAGUGGACCAAAGAAACUUGCCGGAUGCACGGGAGUACUGCAAACACUGUCUUUCCCAAGACAAAAUGGCAGUCUGCAUUGAGAUAAUACCUCACCAUUUAAUCAGGAAGUCCACCACCAAGACCAGAACCUCCCUGUGGUUCUGAAUGUUGUACUGCACCAUCAGAUGCAGAUGACAGUAGUUUCAGUAGUAUUCUGCAAGACCUGUAAACAAACUUUACUGUAUUAAACUGGUGGCAUUACCCUGAAAGACUUCA